Molecule: long non-coding RNA, 1337 nt
Organism: Uranotaenia lowii
Lineage: Eukaryota; Metazoa; Arthropoda; Insecta; Diptera; Culicidae
Exons: 4
Source: RefSeq, a predicted model, not a curated record
CGCGGUUUUGUUUACUUUUGCAUGCAAUUCGGUAGCACGCAAAAUGUGUCGAAGAAGAAAAUCCUGUGAAUGAAGUCGAGCCGACAAAGGACAUGGAAGUGCGGAAGACAGAAAAGAGGAAUUUUUAGGCAACUGCUGCGAAAAAGGCAAGUGCACCUGUGGAAACUACUCCCGUUUACUCUCAUGGAUCUCCCCAAAUUUUAUGCAAGUCUACUGGUGUAAACGAAGCGGCUCGAAAACGAAGAAGAAGGCACUUUCAAGUGAUUCCAAAACUGUCCGGAAAUUCAUCGGAGAAAAAGACAGUUGCCAUCAAAGCCACUCAGAAACGAGCACCGCCACUGGAGGAGUGCCAACCCAGUGAUUUUUAAGUUCAUUUUCCGCUUCGCAGCGAAAUAAAUUCGAGGCUGCGCAGCGAAGCGGAAAAUGAACGGUAAUGAUUUUUUUUCUUGCUGGGAAGCUGUUAUUGACCGGGAGUGGUAGCCAUUCUAAAAGUUGUUCCGAAAGAUUUCUGCCAUUUCUGCGAUUCCAUUGAGUGAUGAUAUUACCGUGUUGUGAAACUUUCGAUUAUGACCAAAUUAAUAGAUCCAAUUAUUGUGCGGCGAAACUUUAUUGACUCCAAUCACCGGUUAUGUAUUUGAUAAAUGAAAUGAUUCAGCAACUAACGCCGUACAAGAAGAUGCGCAACGUAAAUUCUACCAGACCUCAGAUGCUUCCAUUAAAUGGUCAUCAUUUGUUGACAACCCCCAUGAAUCAAGUCCAAAUAAGAUGCCAGCAUCGAUGCCCAUAAUCUCCAGUAAUUGCAAUUACAUGAAUCUGUGUUUUCGGUACCCGCUGUCCACUAAUAUAACAUUGGAUCAGGUAUUGACGCUGGUCAAAAGGAACAGGUGAUCACAACUAGUCAGCUAAAGUAUUGAUAGAUCUCAAACCAAAAGCCCACUGGUGCCAAGAAGAGGGAUGAACUUUCCUUCGAAAUUCAACUUGGCCCAAUUUUCAGCCAUGAGUGGGUGCUUUCACAAGGAGCAUGACAGUCGCUGCACCAGGAGGACAACAAAUCUGUAGUCAAGUUAGGAAUUGUUUUUCAGGAUGCUGUCAACAUUCAUGUAGCCGUACAUGUCCGUUCAUCCGUGGUGAUCACCGUGCGUGUAUCCAGUAAAUAUUUGGAGCAUUUAGAGAAUUCCUGGCGUUAGCAAAUCAAUUUGGAGCUGCUGAACUAAAAUAUUAGGAUCAUAUACAUAACUAAGUGAUUGUACAAACAAAAUUGGUUUAAGUACGAUCUUCGGCACACGUAAAUUUCUGUUCGUUAUGUGUAGGUUGUUAUCCAAAGUGUUAAGCUCAAA